RNAcentral lists this ribosomal RNA (159 nucleotides) under uncultured bacterium. RNAcentral's name for it is "partial 16S ribosomal RNA". It matches the Rfam family "Bacterial small subunit ribosomal RNA", at positions 335 to 486 of the family's 1533-position model. The record is from RNAcentral.
ACUCCUACGGGAGGCAGCAGUAGGGAAUCUUCCACAAUGGGCGCAAGCCUGAUGGAGCAACACAGCGUGCAGGAUGAAGGCCUUCGGGUUGUAAACUGCUGUUAUUAGGGAAGAACAACAUCGGUAGGAAAUGACCGGUGCCUGACGGUACCUAAUGAG